CGGGAAUUUUGGGCAAUGGGCGCAAGCCUGACCCAGCAACGCCGCGUGAAGGAUGAAGUAUUUCGGUAUGUAAACUUCGAAAGAAUGGGAAGAAUAAAUGACGGUACCAUUUAUAAGCCCCGGCUAACUACGUGCCAGCAGCCGCGGUAAUACGUAGGGGGCAAGCGUUGUUCGGAUUUACUGGGCGUAAAGGGCGCGUAGGCGGCAUGACAAGUCACUUGUGAAAUCUCCGGGCUUAACUCGGAACGGCCAAGUGAUACUGUUGAGCUAGAGUGCAGAAGGGGCAAUCGGAAUUCUUGGUGUAGCGGUGAAAUGCGUAGAUAUCAAGAGGAACACCUGAGGUGAAGACGGGUUGCUGGGCUGACACUGACGCUGUGGCGCGAAAGCUAGGGUAGCAAAC
RNAcentral lists this ribosomal RNA (400 nucleotides) under uncultured bacterium. RNAcentral's name for it is "bacterial SSU rRNA". It matches the Rfam family "Bacterial small subunit ribosomal RNA", at positions 356 to 773 of the family's 1533-position model. The record is from RNAcentral.